UACGGAAGGGGGCUAGCGUUGUUCGGAAUUACUGGGCGUAAAGGGCGCGUAGGCGGCCUUCUAAGUCGAACGUGAAAUCCCCGGGCUCAAACCCGGGAACUGCGUCCGAUACUGGAAGGCUUGAAUCCGGGAGAGGGAUGCGGAAUUCCAGGUGUAGCGGGUGAAAUGCGUAGAUAGUCUGGAGGAACACCGGAUGGCGAAGGCGG
RNAcentral lists this ribosomal RNA (206 nucleotides) under uncultured bacterium. RNAcentral describes it as "partial 16S ribosomal RNA". It matches the Rfam family "Bacterial small subunit ribosomal RNA", at positions 524 to 724 of the family's 1533-position model. The record is from RNAcentral.